GGGGAAUAUUGCACAAUGGGCGAAAGCCUGAUGCAGCAACGCCGCGUGAGUGAUGAAGGUUUUCGGAUCGUAAAACUCUGUUCUAAGGGAAGAUAAUGACGGUACCUUAGGAGAAAGCCCCGGCUAACUACGUGCCAGCAGCCGCGGUAAUACGUAGGGGGCAAGCGUUAUCCGGAAUUACUGGGCGUAAAGGGUGCGUAGGUGGCCUGACAAGUCAGGGGUCAAAGGCAACGGCUCAACCGUUGUAAGCCCUUGAAACUGUCGGGCUUGAGUUCAGGAGAGGAAAGCGGAAUUCCAAGUGUAGCGGUGAAAUGCGUAGAUAUUUGGAGGAACACCAGUGGCGAAGGCGGCUUUCUGGACUGAUACUGACACUGAGGCACGAAAGCGUGGGGAGCAAAC
RNAcentral lists this ribosomal RNA (399 nucleotides) under uncultured bacterium. Its description in RNAcentral is "bacterial SSU rRNA". It matches the Rfam family "Bacterial small subunit ribosomal RNA", at positions 356 to 773 of the family's 1533-position model. The record is from RNAcentral.